CCUGGUGGUUAUGGCGGAGCGGCUGCACCCGAUCCCAUUCCGAACUCGGCCGUGAAACGCUCCAGCGCUGAUGGUAC
RNAcentral lists this ribosomal RNA (77 nucleotides) under Mesorhizobium sp. M00.F.Ca.ET.149.01.1.1. The record is from RNAcentral. Lineage: Bacteria; Pseudomonadati; Pseudomonadota; Alphaproteobacteria; Hyphomicrobiales; Phyllobacteriaceae.